GGAAGCGUGGCAGAGUGGUCGAUUGCACCGGUCUUGAAAACCGGCAACGGGCAACCGUUCGUGAGUUCGAAUCUCACCGCUUCCGCCA
Molecule: transfer RNA, 88 nt
Filed under: Pseudomonas aeruginosa
Lineage: Bacteria; Pseudomonadati; Pseudomonadota; Gammaproteobacteria; Pseudomonadales; Pseudomonadaceae
Also listed under: 208 other names
Description: tRNA-Ser
Rfam family: tRNA
About the family: Transfer RNA (tRNA) molecules are approximately 80 nucleotides in length.
Source: RNAcentral